This 444-nucleotide ribosomal RNA is filed under the name uncultured bacterium. RNAcentral describes it as "partial 16S ribosomal RNA". It matches the Rfam family "Bacterial small subunit ribosomal RNA", at positions 339 to 795 of the family's 1533-position model. The record is from RNAcentral.
CUACGGGUUGCACCAGUGGGGAAUAUUGCACAAUGGGCGCAAGCCUGAUGCAGCAACGCCGCGUGAGGGAUGAAGGCCUUCGGGUUGUAAACCUCUUUUAGCAGGGAAGAAGCGAAAGUGACGGUACCUGCAGAAAAAGCACCGGCUAACUACGUGCCAGCAGCCGCGGUAAUACGUAGGGUGCAAGCGUUGUCCGGAAUUAUUGGGCGUAAAGAGCUCGUAGGCGGUUUGUCACGUCUGCUGUGAAAAUCCAAGGCUCAACCUUGGACUUGCAGUGGGUACGGGCAGGCUAGAGUGCGGUAGGGGAGAUGGGAAUUCCUGGUGUAGCGGUGGAAUGCGCAGAUAUCAGGAGGAACACCAAUGGCGAAGGCACAUCUCUGGGCCGUAACUGACGCUGAGGAGCGAAAGCGUGGGGAGCAAACAGGAUUAGAUACCCUUGUAGUC